This 445-nucleotide ribosomal RNA is filed under the name uncultured bacterium. RNAcentral describes it as "partial 16S ribosomal RNA". It matches the Rfam family "Bacterial small subunit ribosomal RNA", at positions 354 to 796 of the family's 1533-position model. The record is from RNAcentral.
GUGAGGAAUAUUGGACAAUGGGCGCAAGCCUGAUCCAGCCAUACCGCGUGCAGGAAGACGCAUCUAUGGUGUGUAAACUGCUUUUGUACGGGAAGAAACACUCCCUCGUGAGGGAGCUUGACGGUACCGUAAGAAUAAGGAUCGGCUAACUCCGUGCCAGCAGCCGCGGUAAUACGGAGGAUCCAAGCGUUAUCCGGAAUCAUUGGGUUUAAAGGGUCCGUAGGCGGUUUAAUAAGUCAGUGGUGAAAGCCCAUCGCUCAACGAUGGAACGGCCAUUGAUACUGUUAGACUUGAAUUACAAGGAAGUAACUAGAAUAUGUAGUGUAGCGGUGAAAUGCUUAGAUAUUACAUGGAAUACCAAUUGCGAAGGCAGGUUACUACUUGUGGAUUGACGCUGAUGGACGAAAGCGUGGGGAGCGAACAGGAUUAGAAACCCCAGUAGUCC